GCCUUUAAAGACACCAGAAAGACACGCAUGGAGCCAGAGGUGGGGAGUCACAGAACUGAAGUCAAGCUAUCCAGCCGCAAAGGAAAACCCCUGGAGAAGGUGUGGCUGACUUGAUCAGAGGCGCAAAAGAGAAGAUCCUCAAAGUGAAAGGGCCUGUCCAGAUGCCUACCAAAACUCUGAGAACUGCUAGAAGAUAAACUCCUUGUGCUUAAGGUUCUGAGACAUGGGAUCCUUUCCAGAUGAGAAUCCACAAGCAAUCAUUGAUUUGCAUAGUUCUUUGAGAUGGCUAAACUGAUUAUUCCCAUCAGUAUUGAGCCACGAGUUGAAGCCAAAGUCACCAUUGCUGAUGCUUAA
RNAcentral lists this long non-coding RNA (354 nucleotides) under Homo sapiens (human). Its description in RNAcentral is "non-protein coding lnc-PABPC1-1:1". Lineage: Eukaryota; Metazoa; Chordata; Mammalia; Primates; Hominidae. The record is from RNAcentral.